UGGGGAAUUUUGCACAAUGGGCGCAAGCCUGAUGCAGCGACGCCGCGUGAGGGAUGAAGGCCUUCGGGUUGUAAACCUUUUUCGCUCAUGGUCAAGCCGCAGCUUUGGGUUGUGGUGAGGGUAGUGGGUAAAGAAGCGCCGGCUAACUACGUGCCAGCAGCCGCGGUAAUACGUAGGGCGCGAGCGUUGUCCGGAUUUAUUGGGCGUAAAGCGAGCGCAGGCGGUUAGAUAAGUCUGAAGUUAAAGGCAGUGGCUCAACCAUUGUAGGCUUUGGAAACUGUUUAACUUGAGUGCAGAAGGGGAGAGUGGAAUUCCAUGUGUAGCGGUGAAAUGCGUAGAUAUAUGGAGGAACACCGGUGGCGAAAGCGGCUCUCUGGUCUGUAACUGACGCUGAGGCUCGAAAGCGUGGGGAGCGAACAGG
This 421-nucleotide ribosomal RNA is filed under the name Bacteroidota bacterium. RNAcentral describes it as "Bacteroidetes bacterium partial 16S ribosomal RNA". It matches the Rfam family "Bacterial small subunit ribosomal RNA", at positions 355 to 776 of the family's 1533-position model. The record is from RNAcentral. Lineage: Bacteria; Pseudomonadati; Bacteroidota.